AUAUAUAUAUAUAUAUAUAUAUAUAUAUAUAAACCUUUUAAGCCGGGAAAAGAAUAGAAAUUAACUUUCAAUCGGGUUCAUCCUACAUGAAUCAUGGAUCU
This 101-nucleotide non-coding RNA is filed under the name Bigelowiella natans. Lineage: Eukaryota; Cercozoa; Chlorarachniophyceae. The record is from RNAcentral.